GCCUGGCUCAGUGGCGCAUGCCUGUAAUCCCAGUGACUUGGGAGGCUGAGACAGGAGAAUCGCGAGUUCAAAGCCAGCCUCAGCAAUUUAGUGAGGCACUAAGCAAUUCAGUGAGACCCUGUUUCUA
Molecule: small RNA, 127 nt
Filed under: Marmota monax (woodchuck)
Lineage: Eukaryota; Metazoa; Chordata; Mammalia; Rodentia; Sciuridae
Source: RNAcentral